This 372-nucleotide unclassified non-coding RNA is filed under the name soil metagenome. Its description in RNAcentral is "partial contains internal transcribed spacer 2 and large subunit ribosomal RNA". The stretch from base 1 to 120 matches the Rfam family "5.8S ribosomal RNA", at positions 35 to 154 of the family's 154-position model. The record is from RNAcentral.
GAUGAAGAACGUAGCGAAAUGCGAUAAUUAAUGUGAAUUGCAGAAUUCCGUGAAUCAUCGAGUCUUUGAACGCACAUUGCGCCUCAUGGCAUUCCGUGAGGCAUGCCCAUCUCAGCGUUAGAAAAUAUUCUCAAAUUUUAGUUUUGUGCUAAAAUUUGGAUCAUGUCAAGGAAGCUAUUACUAUUAUUGUGAUCGCUCUUUGGAAAUUGAUAGGUCUUUGAGUUGCUACUCAUAGAACGUGAUGAAUCUUUCUUCGUUCUAUUGUAAUUCACUCUGGUAGUCCUAACUUGUAUGCCUGUGGCAUAUCUUGUAAUUUGACCUGAGAUUGGGUAGGGAUACCCGCUGAACUUAAGCAUAUCAAUAAGCGGAGGA